UUUUAUGAGAGUUUGAUCCUGGCUCAGGACGAACGCUGGCGGCGUGCCUAAUACAUGCAAGUCGAACGCUUCUUUUUCCACCGGAGCUUGCUCCACCGGAAAAAGAGGAGUGGCGAACGGGUGAGUAACACGUGGGUAACCUGCCCAUCAGAAGGGGAUAACACUUGGAAACAGGUGCUAAUACCGUAUAACAAUCGAAACCGCAAGGUUUUGAUU
RNAcentral lists this ribosomal RNA (216 nucleotides) under Enterococcus faecium. RNAcentral describes it as "partial 16S ribosomal RNA". It matches the Rfam family "Bacterial small subunit ribosomal RNA", at positions 1 to 201 of the family's 1533-position model. Lineage: Bacteria; Bacillati; Bacillota; Bacilli; Lactobacillales; Enterococcaceae. The record is from RNAcentral.